UCCGCUCGUGCGGAUUGGCUGUGUCACAAGCCUCCUCGAGCGGCCCAAGUGCGGCAUGCUGUGUCGAAGCCCCUCUCCACCUCGCUCAGGACUGAAUAUUACACAUUGGAAGCCACAGAUCAACAAAAAGAGUCGAUUAUGAAAUACCUUCAGUUAAAGUGGUGAAAUGUGAUUGUCUAUUUGCAGCACGCCGAGGGUUGGUAUCUCCAGGAUAUAUUAACCAGUUUGGAUAUGUAAUACAAAUGAGGAAAAUGAGGUUGUAUUAGGCGUAUGAACUGUAUUCUUUGGUACGAAACCUGAAUUUUCGUUUUGCA
Molecule: long non-coding RNA, 314 nt
Organism: Lolium rigidum
Lineage: Eukaryota; Viridiplantae; Streptophyta; Magnoliopsida; Poales; Poaceae
Exons: 2
Source: RefSeq, a predicted model, not a curated record